UACAGAGGGGGCAAGCGUUAUUCGGAAUUAUUGGGCGUAAAGGGCGCGUAGGCGGCCAUUCAAGUGACGGGUGAAAGCCCUCGGCUUAACCGAGGAACUGCCUGUCAGACUGGAUGGCUUGAGACCGGGAGAGGUGAGUGGAAUUCCCAGUGUAGCGGUGAAAUGCGUAGAUAUUGGGAGGAACACCAGUGGCGAAGGCGGCUCACUGGCCCGAUACUGACGCUGAGGCACGAAAGCGUGGGGAGCAAACAGG
RNAcentral lists this ribosomal RNA (253 nucleotides) under uncultured bacterium. RNAcentral describes it as "partial 16S ribosomal RNA". It matches the Rfam family "Bacterial small subunit ribosomal RNA", at positions 524 to 776 of the family's 1533-position model. The record is from RNAcentral.